UACGUAGGGGGCAAGCGUUGUCCGGAUUUAUUGGGCGUAAAGGGUACGCAGGCGGCCUUUUAAGUCAGAUGUGAAAGAUCACGGCUCAACCGUGGUAAGCAUUUGAAACUGGAAGGCUUGAGUUAAGGAGAGGAAAGUGGAAUUCCUAGUGUAGCGGUGAAAUGCGUAGAUAUUAGGAGGAAUACCAGUGGCGAAGGCGACUUUCUGGACUUAUACUGACGCUGAGGUACGAAAGCGUGGGGAGCGAACAGG
RNAcentral lists this ribosomal RNA (252 nucleotides) under uncultured bacterium. RNAcentral's name for it is "partial 16S ribosomal RNA". It matches the Rfam family "Bacterial small subunit ribosomal RNA", at positions 524 to 776 of the family's 1533-position model. The record is from RNAcentral.